UACAGAGGGGGCAAGCGUUGUUCGGAAUUAUUGGGCGUAAAGCGCGCGUAGGCGGCCACUUAAGUCGGAUGUGAAAGCCCCUGGCUCAACUGGGGAAGUGCACCCGAAACUGAGCGGCUUGAAUGCAAAAGAGGGUCGCGGAAUUCCCGGUGUAGAGGUGAAAUUCGUAGAUAUCGGGAGGAACACCGGUGGCGAAGGCGGCGACCUGGGUUGACAUUGACGCUGAGGCGCGAAAGCGUGGGGAGCAAACAGG
Molecule: ribosomal RNA, 253 nt
Filed under: uncultured bacterium
Lineage: Bacteria
Description: partial 16S ribosomal RNA
Rfam family: Bacterial small subunit ribosomal RNA
Source: RNAcentral